Long non-coding RNA from Papaver somniferum (opium poppy), 324 nucleotides. RefSeq lists it as uncharacterized. The record is from RefSeq and is a predicted model, not a curated record. The transcript is spliced from 3 exons. Lineage: Eukaryota; Viridiplantae; Streptophyta; Magnoliopsida; Ranunculales; Papaveraceae.
UCUUACUUCUCUGUGUUCCUUAUUGUGCUUCUUUUCUAUGUGUGAUAUAGGUUGUUAUAAUAGAUUCAUAUUUAUACGUCGUAGUUGAAUCAGAAAGACGAUUGAGAAUGAUACAAGAAGAAGGGUGACGAAUCAUACUGGGGUGUUAUUUAAGAAACUUAUAUGGGGGUUUGAACUGUUUCUCCAUGAGGGUGAUAUGAUACCUGCUCUUGCCUCCGCGGAACCUAAAUUGCACCCUGCAAAGGAUGAACACCGGGAUAUUUUCAAGUAUUAUACCGAGGGGUUAAUCCAUUACGUUACAACCAUCAGUGCUAUUGGAGGAGC